GAUGAACGCUGGCGGCGUGCCUAAUACGUGCAAGUCGAGCGAACAGAUGAGGAGCUUGCUCCUCUGACGUUAGCGGCGGACGGGUGAGUAACACGUGGAUAACCUACCUAUAAGACUGGGAUAACUUCGGGAAACCGGAGCUAAUACCGGAUAAUAUAUUGAACCGCAUGGUUCAAUAGUGAAAGACGGUUUUGCUGUCACUUAUAGAUGGAUCCGCGCCGCAUGAGCUAGUUGGUAAGGUAACGGCUUACCAAGGCAACGAUGCGUAGCCGACCUGAGAGGGUGAUCGGCCACACUGGAAAUGAGACACGGUCCAGACUCCUACGGGGGGCAGCAGUAGGGAAUCUUCCGCAAUGGGCGAAAGCCUGACGGAGCAACGCCGCGUGAGUGAUGAAGGUCUUCGGAUCGUAAAACUCUGUUAUUAGGGAAGAACAAAUGUGUAAGUAACUAUGCACGUCUUGACGGUACCUAAUCAGAAAGCCACGGCUAACUACGUG
This 497-nucleotide ribosomal RNA is filed under the name uncultured bacterium. RNAcentral describes it as "partial 16S ribosomal RNA". It matches the Rfam family "Bacterial small subunit ribosomal RNA", at positions 28 to 507 of the family's 1533-position model. The record is from RNAcentral.